UACGGAGGGUGCAAGCGUUAUCCGGAUUCACUGGGUUUAAAGGGUGCGUAGGAGGGCAGGGAAGUCCGUGGUGAAAUCUCCGAGCUUUACUCGGAAACUGCCGUGGAUACUCUCUGUCUUGAAUCCCGUGGAGAUGAGCGGAAUAUGUCAUGUAGCGGUGAAAUGCUUAGAUAUGACAUAGAACACCAAUUGCGAAGGCAGCUCGUUACACGAAGAUUGACUCUGAGGCACGAAAGCGUGGGGAUCAAACAGG
RNAcentral lists this ribosomal RNA (253 nucleotides) under uncultured bacterium. RNAcentral describes it as "partial 16S ribosomal RNA". It matches the Rfam family "Bacterial small subunit ribosomal RNA", at positions 524 to 776 of the family's 1533-position model. The record is from RNAcentral.